CGUAGGUGGCAAGCGUUGUCCGGAAUUAUUGGGCGUAAAGCGCGCGCAGGCGGUCUCUUAAGUCUGAUGUGAAAGCCCCCGGCUCAACCGGGGAGGGUCAUUGGAAACUGGGAGACUUGAGUGCAGGAGAGGGAAGUGGAAUUCCAUGUGUAGCGGUGAAAUGCGUAGAGAUAUGGAGGAACACCAGUGGCGAAGGCGGCUUCCUGGCCUGUAACUGACGCUGAGGCGCGAAAGCGUGGGGGAGCAAACAGGAUU
RNAcentral lists this ribosomal RNA (255 nucleotides) under uncultured bacterium. RNAcentral's name for it is "partial 16S ribosomal RNA". It matches the Rfam family "Bacterial small subunit ribosomal RNA", at positions 526 to 779 of the family's 1533-position model. The record is from RNAcentral.